RNAcentral lists this ribosomal RNA (424 nucleotides) under uncultured cyanobacterium. RNAcentral's name for it is "bacterial SSU rRNA". It matches the Rfam family "Bacterial small subunit ribosomal RNA", at positions 356 to 795 of the family's 1533-position model. Lineage: Bacteria; Bacillati; Cyanobacteriota. The record is from RNAcentral.
GGGGAAUUUUCCGCAAUGGGCGAAAGCCUGACGGAGCAAUACCGCGUGAGGGAGGAAGGCUUUUGGGUUGUAAACCUCUUUUCUUAAGGAAGAAGAUCUGACGGUACUUAAGGAAUCAGCAUCGGCUAACUCCGUGCCAGCAGCCGCGGUAAUACGGAGGAUGCAAGCGUUAUCCGGAAUUAUUGGGCGUAAAGCGUCCGCAGGUGGCCUUUCAAGUCUGCUGUCAAAGACCAGAGCUCAACUCUGGGCCGGCGGUGGAAACUGGGAGGCUAGAGUACGGUAGGGGUAGAGGGAAUUCCCAGUGUAGCGGUGAAAUGCGUAGAGAUUGGGAAGAACACCAGUGGCGAAGGCGCUCUACUGGGCCGGAACUGACACUGAGGGACGAAAGCUAGGGGAGCGAAAGGGAUUAGAUACCCCUGUAGUC